UGGCUCAGGACGAACGCUGGCGGCGUGCCUAAUACAUGCAAGUCGAACGCUUCUUUUUCCACCGGAGCUUGCUCCACCGGAAAAAGAGGAGUGGCGAACGGGUGAGUAACACGUGGGUAACCUGCCCAUCAGAAGGGGAUAACACUUGGAAACAGGUGCUAAUACCGUAUAACAAUCGAAACCGCAUGGUUUUGAUUUGAAAGGCGCUUUCGGGUGUCGCUGAUGGAUGGACCCGCGGUGCAUUAGCUAGUUGGUGAGGUAACGGCUCACCAAGGCGACGAUGCAUAGCCGACCUGAGAGGGUGAUCGGCCACAUUGGGACUGAGACACGGCCCAAACUCCUACGGGAGGCAGCAGUAGGGAAUCUUCGGCAAUGGACGAAAGUCUGACCGAGCAACGCCGCGUGAGUGAAGAAGGUUUUCGGAUCGUAAAACUCUGUUGUUAGAGAAGAACAAGGAUGAGAGUAACUGUUCAUCCCUUGACGGUAUCUAACCAGAAAGCCACGGCUAACUACGUGCCAGCAGCCGCGGUAAUACGUAGGUGGCAAGCGUUGUCCGGAUUUAUUGGGCGUAAAGCGAGCGCAGGCGGUUUCUUAAGUCUGAUGUGAAAGCCCCCGGCUCAACCGGGGAGGGUCAUUGGAAACUGGGAGACUUGAGUGCAGAAGAGGAGAGUGGAAUUCCAUGUGUAGCGGUGAAAUGCGUAGAUAUAUGGAGGAACACCAGUGGCGAAGGCGGCUCUCUGGUCUGUAACUGACGCUGAGGCUCGAAAGCGUGGGGAGCAAACAGGAUUAGAUAC
This 794-nucleotide ribosomal RNA is filed under the name uncultured Enterococcus sp. RNAcentral's name for it is "bacterial SSU rRNA". It matches the Rfam family "Bacterial small subunit ribosomal RNA", at positions 20 to 785 of the family's 1533-position model. Lineage: Bacteria; Bacillati; Bacillota; Bacilli; Lactobacillales; Enterococcaceae. The record is from RNAcentral.